GUUGGGGUUGGUGCAGUUGAUGAGUCCUAAUCCCACUGUGAAAAAAAGGUUCUCAUCAAUCUGAGUGGGCACUUUCACCUGGGAAGGACUCCUUAGUUGAGCAGUGAAAGCAGUUGCAGUGUUUGUGUCGUUGUAUGCUGGUAGUUGGGGGAGGAUCGGUGGUGGUGAGGACUUCCCUUUCUUGGCAUUACAAGGAGCAUAUUUGUAUUCCAAGAUAGCUGUUGUGGUGGUAUUAUCAAAUGCUGCAUUCUGGGCUGUGUUAUAGGCAUGCGCAGCCAUGUAGUAACGACCUGGGGUUUGAUCAGCUGUGAUGAGGACAUUAGUUGUCUGACCUGGAGCUAUCAUGAUCACUGAGGUUGUAAAAGGCUUGGUGUAGGCAGCAUCAACAGAAACCACUGUUAAUCUGUGAUCAGCCACCGCAAAGAAGAGUUCUUGGUUCAAAGCAGAGUUGAUGAUUCUCAGGAGAAUCGUCUCACCGGAAUCCACGGGGAAUCUCACAGUUUCUGCAUUGCCAAAGCCAUAGUAAAAGAGAUUAUGCUUCUAUCAUUCGCAUGGCCACAUACAGAUAGUGAAAUCUGAAUUACAGCAAGCAGAUCUGGAAAACCUUUGCUGGAGCAUCUGUAGAGAUCUCCAGGUUGACCGUUGAUGGUAUAAGCAUCAGAAACAUUUGGUGCUGCUCCUGUGAAGGUUGCCUGCUUCAGGACAUCCAUAGGAUUCCUGUCCCACCACUCCCCUGUCAAUCAUCAUCAUAAUCAGUGUUUUCCCUUUGUCACUUGAUAAUCUUAUUAGUUUAGAUGGAAAUGAAAAAUGC
Molecule: unclassified non-coding RNA, 811 nt
Filed under: Hevea brasiliensis (rubber tree)
Lineage: Eukaryota; Viridiplantae; Streptophyta; Magnoliopsida; Malpighiales; Euphorbiaceae
Source: RNAcentral